UGCGCUGUAAAGGAUAAAUAGCAAAGGGC
Molecule: small RNA, 29 nt
Filed under: Bombyx mori (domestic silkworm)
Lineage: Eukaryota; Metazoa; Arthropoda; Insecta; Lepidoptera; Bombycidae
Description: piRNA piR-bmo-1709842
Source: RNAcentral